RNAcentral lists this ribosomal RNA (466 nucleotides) under uncultured bacterium. RNAcentral's name for it is "bacterial SSU rRNA". It matches the Rfam family "Bacterial small subunit ribosomal RNA", at positions 455 to 917 of the family's 1533-position model. The record is from RNAcentral.
GUCAAUACCCGGCAGCUUGACAUUACCUUUAGAAGAAGCACCGGCUAACUCCGUGCCAGCAGCCGCGGUAAUACGGAGGGUGCAAGCGUUAAUCGGAAUUACUGGGCGUAAAGCGUGCGUAGGCGGUUCGUUAAGUCAGAUGUGAAAGCCCCGGGCUUAACCUGGGAACUGCAUUUGAAACUGGCGGACUUGAGUUGAGUAGAGGGGAGUGGAAUUUCAGGUGUAGCGGUGAAAUGCGUAGAUAUCUGAAGGAACACCAGUGGCGAAGGCGACUCCCUGGACUCAAACUGACGCUGAGGUACGAAAGCGUGGGUAGCAAACAGGAUUAGAUACCCUGGUAGUCCACGCUGUAAACGAUGUCAACUAGCCGUUGGUCCUAUUUACAGGAUUAGUGGCGCAGCUAACGCAUUAAGUUGACCGCCUGGGGAGUACGGCCGCAAGGUUAAAACUCAAAUGAAUUGACGGG